AAUCUUGAUACUAAUUUUAUGAGUGCGGUGUGAGCACACAACACCCACAAACCAAUUUCAGUAAUCUCCGUAAGCCACCUAAGUGCGGUGUGAGCACCCCACUUUAAUAUCUAACCCGCCUAAAAUAUAUAACCAAUGUUUACUCCAUCACACAAUCCUUGUGCUCCAGCUUCUAAUCUUCAACUCAUACAUCAGAUGUAGCAUCAUCUACGACUUGGUUGUUCCUUUAGUAGUUGUAAACAUCUAGAUGCCAAUACCUACAGGAAGUUAAGCUAGGGAUUAGAAAUCUAAGUUCAGUCGCAGCCCACAGGGCCUGGGGGACGGGGAAAGUUUUCGACUGUACCUGAUGUGUUGGCGAUAUUUAAAGGCUCACACAAUCAUCAUUCUGUUUAAAUGGGUUCCCUGGUUCUUAUCAAGGGCAGGUCCUAGCGCGGUAAUCACCUAUGGCAUGGUCAUUCC
This 459-nucleotide long non-coding RNA is filed under the name Triticum aestivum (bread wheat). Its description in RNAcentral is "long non-coding RNA (TAES_LNC012808)". Lineage: Eukaryota; Viridiplantae; Streptophyta; Magnoliopsida; Poales; Poaceae. The record is from RNAcentral.